This 188-nucleotide microRNA precursor is filed under the name Oryza brachyantha (malo sina). Its description in RNAcentral is "MIR812 microRNA precursor family". It matches the Rfam family "MIR812 microRNA precursor family". The record is from Rfam by way of RNAcentral. Lineage: Eukaryota; Viridiplantae; Streptophyta; Magnoliopsida; Poales; Poaceae.
AAUAAAUAAACUUUUCAGUUUUUAGAUACAAUGUUUGACUUUUCGUUUUAUUCAAAAAUAUUACGAUUAAUAAUUUUAUUUUUAUUAGAUGAUAAAACAUGAAUAAUACUUUAUGUGUGACUAAUGUUUUUAAAAUUUUUUGAAAAUUUUUCAAAUAAGACGGAUGGUUAAACGCUCGACAAAAAAAU